UUAUGGUGGACACUCAGACAUUUAUUGUUUGUGAUGGAAAAACAGAACGCUAGAAAUAAUAUUUAAGGCAGAAAUCACAGCCUUGGAUAAACCCUGGGAAAUGUCGGGGAGCCACGGCCCAGCUUGAACAUUACCGUUCUAAAAGAUCUCAGCUCCCUCCAAUUCUCGUGGGUCUGGACAACACAGCCCUGGCUAGAUCUGGCUUGGUCUCCUAGCCCAGGUGGCUGCAGGGGUGGGUGAACCCCUUCAGACCACCACCUACUAUCCUCACGUG
This 274-nucleotide long non-coding RNA is filed under the name Bos taurus (domestic cattle). RNAcentral describes it as "long non-coding RNA NONBTAT014235". Lineage: Eukaryota; Metazoa; Chordata; Mammalia; Artiodactyla; Bovidae. The record is from RNAcentral.